RNAcentral lists this ribosomal RNA (426 nucleotides) under uncultured bacterium. Its description in RNAcentral is "bacterial SSU rRNA". It matches the Rfam family "Bacterial small subunit ribosomal RNA", at positions 354 to 796 of the family's 1533-position model. The record is from RNAcentral.
GUGGGGAAUAUUGCGCAAUGGGGGGAACCCUGACGCAGCAACGCCGCGUGAAGGAUGAAGGUUUUCGGAUCGUAAACUUCUUUGAUGAGGGACGAAGAAUGACGGUACCUCAAAAACAAGCCACGGCUAACUACGUGCCAGCAGCCGCGGUAAUACGUAGGUGGCGAGCGUUGUCCGGAAUUACUGGGUGUAAAGGGCGUGUAGGCGGGGAUACAAGUCAGAUGUGAAAUACCGUGGCUUAACCACGGGGCUGCAUCUGAAACUGUAUUUCUUGAGUGUCGGAGAGGAAAGUGGAAUUCCCAGUGUAGCGGUGAAAUGCGUAGAUAUUGGGAGGAACACCAGUGGCGAAGGCGACUUUCUGGACGAUAACUGACGCUGAGGCGCGAAAGCGUGGGGAGCAAACAGGAUUAGAUACCCCAGUAGUCC